CUCUGUAUAACAGUCGUAAUUUAUGGGACAAUACGACAGUUGGACAACUCUGGUAAAACUAGAGCUAAUACAUGCACAAAUGUCUUGACUUUCAAAGAAAAGACGCAUAUAUCAGUAAAACGCCGAAACCUUUAUGGUUUUUUAAUUGACUCUGGGUACAGAAUCCGAUCGAUUUACUUUAUAGUAAACGACACUGAUCGUAAGCGUCUGACCUAUCAACCUUGAUGGUGGUAUCUUUUACCGCUAUGGUUGUAACGGGUAACGGGGAAUCAGGGUUCGAUUCCGGAGAAAGAGCCUGCGAAACGGCUGUUACAUCUAAGGAAGGCAGCAGGCGCGCAAAUUACCCAAUCCCCGAUCGGGGAGGUAGUGACGAGAAAUGACGAUGCCGUAAUCUUUUGAUUCGGCUAUUGAAAUGAGAACGAUGAAAGAAUGUUAUCGAGCAUCUAUUGGAGGGCAAGCUCUGGUGCCAGCAGCCGCGGUAACUCCAGCUCGAAAAGUGUCUGUUAAUGCUGCUGUGCUUGAAACGCUCGUAGUUGGACUUUAGGUAAUAGCCCGUUAUCGACUUUUUGUUCGUGAAAUGGGAAUGUACCGUUUUUAGUGCCUAUCUUCGUGAUUUACUUAAUCGUGUCACGAUUGAAGGCCAAUGUCACUUUGGAGAAACCAGCGUGCUCAUAGCAGGUCUUUGCCUGUAUAAUACUGCGUGGGAUGACGGAAUUCGGCCCUAGUUCUGUUUCUGGCUACGUUGCAGGGCCAUGAUUAAUCGAGACAGACGGGGGCAUUCGUAUUGCGGCGCUAGAAGUGAAAUUCUGUGACCGCCGUAAGACGAACAAUUGCGAAAGCAUUUGCCAAGCAUGUUUUCGUUAAUCAAGAACGAAGGUUAGAGUAUCGAAGACGAUUAGAUACCGUCCUAGUUCUAACUGCAAACUAUGCCAACCAGGGUUUCGUUAAUGCCUUUGUGCUUUACGAACACCCUUCGGGAAACCUGAGUAAUCGGGUUCCGGGGGGAGUAUGGUUGCAGAAUCGAAACUUAAAGGAAUUGACGGAAGGGCACACCAGGAGUGGAGCCUGCGGCUUAAUUUGACUCAACGCACGAAAGCCGACUCGGUCCGAACACUAGAAGGAUUGACAGACUGAAAGCUCUUUCUUGAUUCAGUGGGUAGCGGUGCAUGGCCGUUCGUUGUUGGUGAAGUGAUUUGUCUGGUUGAUUCCGAUAACGAACGAGACUCUAGCCUAUUAAAUAGCAUAGCAACUAUACGUUGUUUAUUUAUAGCUUCUUAAAGGGACAAGUGCUUCUAAGGCGCACGAGAAAGAGCAAUAACAGGUCUGUGAUGCCCUUCGAUGUUCGAGGCUGCACGCGCGCUACAAUAGAGAGCCUAGAGCGCAUAAUGUGUUCCGAAAGGACCGCAGAAUCGUUAAUGGCCUCUGUAAUUGGGAUCGGAGCUUGAAAUUAUUCUUCGUGAACGAGGAAUUUCUAGUAAGUGCGAGUCAUUAUCUCGUGCUGAUUGAGUCCCUGCCCUUUGUACACACCGCCCGUCGCUACUACCGAUCGAACGAUUCGGUGAGGUCAGUUGACCUACGUGUGAGGUAUCCGAAAGGAUCUUCACGCUUUGAACGAAAGCUGAACGAGCUGAGGCGCUCAG
Molecule: ribosomal RNA, 1640 nt
Filed under: Micracanthorhynchina dakusuiensis
Lineage: Eukaryota; Metazoa; Acanthocephala; Palaeacanthocephala; Echinorhynchida; Rhadinorhynchidae
Also listed under: 1 other name
Description: SSU rRNA
Rfam family: Eukaryotic small subunit ribosomal RNA
Source: RNAcentral